UACGUAGGGUGCGAGCGUUGUCCGGAAUUAUUGGGCGUAAAGAGCUCGUAGGCGGUUCGUCGCGUCGGCUGUGAAAUCCCGGAGCUCAACUCCGGGUCUGCAGUCGAUACGGGCGGACUUGAGUACUGCAGGGGAGACUGGAAUUCCGGGUGUAGCGGUGGAAUGCGUAGAGAUCCGGAGGAAGACCGGGUGGCGAAGGCGGCCUGCUGGGCAGUUACUGACACUGAGGCGCGACAGCGUGGGGAGCAAACAGG
RNAcentral lists this ribosomal RNA (254 nucleotides) under uncultured bacterium. RNAcentral's name for it is "partial 16S ribosomal RNA". It matches the Rfam family "Bacterial small subunit ribosomal RNA", at positions 524 to 776 of the family's 1533-position model. The record is from RNAcentral.